Dipodomys ordii (Ord's kangaroo rat) is the source of this 72-nucleotide non-coding RNA. The record is from Rfam. NCBI's taxonomy places the organism in Eukaryota, Metazoa, Chordata, Mammalia, Rodentia, Heteromyidae.
GGGAAGGUGGCUCAAUGGUAGAGUGCUUGCCUUGCAUGCAUGAGGCCCUGGGUUCGAUUCCUUACUACCACA